UACAUGAGGACACUGGGAGACAUGGGGACACUGUGACAUUAGGGAACACUGGGAUACAUAGCGUCCCCAUGUCUCACAGUGUCCCUAUGUAUCCAUGUGUUCCCUAGUGUCUCAGUGUCCCCUUGUCUCCCAGUGUCCCCUAGUGU
Pelobates cultripes (western spadefoot toad) is the source of this 146-nucleotide non-coding RNA. The record is from the annotation of a GenBank genome assembly. Lineage: Eukaryota; Metazoa; Chordata; Amphibia; Anura; Pelobatidae.